GUCAGUAUAGCUCAGUUGGUAAAGUGUCUCUCCUAUAAUUGAGACGACGCUGGUUCAACCCUUGCAAUGGUA
Molecule: non-coding RNA, 72 nt
Organism: Exidia glandulosa HHB12029
Lineage: Eukaryota; Fungi; Basidiomycota; Agaricomycetes; Auriculariales; Exidiaceae
Source: the annotation of a GenBank genome assembly